CACUUCUCAGGGUCCACCUGGAGAGUUUCCAGUACUCUACCAGCCUUGAUUACGGGAGGGAGAGUCAAGCAGAGGCAUACCCAUUCCAUUCCUAGCUUGGGCAGUGGUUAGCGAGUGGAAGUCCAUCUGCUACAAGU
Molecule: small nucleolar RNA, 137 nt
Organism: Ornithorhynchus anatinus (platypus)
Lineage: Eukaryota; Metazoa; Chordata; Mammalia; Monotremata; Ornithorhynchidae
Source: RefSeq, a predicted model, not a curated record